Molecule: ribosomal RNA, 1332 nt
Filed under: Triticum aestivum (bread wheat)
Lineage: Eukaryota; Viridiplantae; Streptophyta; Magnoliopsida; Poales; Poaceae
Description: partial small subunit ribosomal RNA
Source: RNAcentral
AUGACAGAACACUUUAAUGCUCACAACAAGAGUGGAAUUUACCGCUUCGAGAGAUCACUUUGGUCCCGAUGGUCGACAAUCAACUCGGAUUGUCAAAAGUGGGCGGCCGCGCAAAAGUCGGUGGACAAGAUUAACCCAAGUGGCACAAAUGAGGAUGAUCGAUACAACAUUGCACAAAACUUGUUCAACCAAGAGACAAGGACAACCAAGAAGGGGAAGAUCAAGAAAGGCAGGAUCUUUACCUUGCCUCAUUGCUAUGAAGUGUUAAAGGAUGAUGAGAAAUGGAAGAAGCGUGAUGAUUUGGAGGAUUUGCAUUUGAGCAACAAACGAAAGCGAGCAAUUGAGAUGAAUGAUGAUGAUGAGGAGGAUGAUGCAUCAAGUGAUGACGGCAAGAGAAGCCCCACACCCAACUCGGUUUCAUACUCGAAGCCAAAACGACCGGAUGGGUGCAAAAAAGACAAAACCGAAAAGAAGAAGAAGAAAGGAGAUGAUGAGCUCAAAAAUGUUAUGGAAGCUAUUGUGAAGGCAAGGGUCGAAGCGAAUGAGGUGAGGAAAAUGGCAAGGAACCAAGAUGCCGUGGCCGAGGAGAGGAGGUUGGCGGCCGAGGAGAGAAGAGUGGCGGUCGAGGAGAGAAAGGUGACUUUGGAGGAGAGGAAGGUGAGCAACGAGGAGCGAGCUAAGUUGUUGGAAUGGGAGAAGCACUUGUUCUUCAUGGACACAUAUAACCUCAAUGCGGCGCAAAAGGAGUAUGUCAAUCUUGCCCAACAAGAAGUCUUGAUCCGAAAAAGAGCCUUGGUUCGUGCAAUGGGUGGCGAUGGCCUCGGCGCCAUGGGAGGCAUGGGUGGCUUCGGCGCCAUGGGAGGCGGUGGCCUCGGCGCCAUGGGAGGCAUUGGUGGCCUUGGAGGCAUGGGAGACAUGGGUGCACCUCCGGCCACCAUGGGAGGCAUGAGUGGCUUUGGAGCACCCUCCGACGCUAUGGCCGCCAUGGGAGGCAUGGGUGCACCUCCGGCCGCCAUGGGAGGCAUGGGUGGCUUUGGAGCACCCUCCGAUGCUAUGGCCGCCAUGGGAGGCAUGAGUUUUGCUUCUCUCAUGGGAGGCAUGGGUGCACCUCCGGCCGCCAUGGGUGCACCUCCGGUCGCCAUGGCUUUUCACACACAUUCCCAUGAAGAUGCCGUUGAAGAUCUUGCCAACACCGUCGGAGCUUCACAUGAUGCGGUGCGUGAUGCGGUGCGUGAUGAGGAUAGGGAGGAAGGUUCAUCUUCGGAGGCGGAAGAGUCGUCUUCGGAAGAUGAGGACGAAGACGAAGAAGAAGAAGAUGAAGAUGAAGCUUGA